Molecule: ribosomal RNA, 101 nt
Filed under: uncultured bacterium
Lineage: Bacteria
Description: partial 16S ribosomal RNA
Rfam family: Bacterial small subunit ribosomal RNA
Source: RNAcentral
CGCCGCGUGAGGGACGACGGCCUUCGGGUUGUAAACCUCUUUCAGUAGGGACGAAGCGCAAGUGACGGUACCUACAGAAGAAGCACCGGCCAACUACGUGC